AUCCUUUUGUAAUACAUAAGCAGAAUGAUUGGGUUUUUAUGUUCAUAUGUUUGAUAUGCCUUCCUCAAAUCCUCUUAUGAUGUCGGCACAUUACCUAUCUGAGG
This 104-nucleotide small nucleolar RNA is filed under the name Macaca fascicularis (crab-eating macaque). RNAcentral's name for it is "Small nucleolar RNA U13 (ENSMFAG00000049776.1)". It matches the Rfam family "Small nucleolar RNA U13". The record is from Rfam by way of RNAcentral. Lineage: Eukaryota; Metazoa; Chordata; Mammalia; Primates; Cercopithecidae.